UUGAUUUGUCUGAACUCAAACUUGCUAAACUUUGACUAUGAUUAUAAAAAAAAUAUAAUAACCACCAUGCUACCAGACAUAUGCACUAUCAAUAUAUAUUCUAUGGUAGAUUCAAUGAAACAAAUUUGGUAUUAUAAAUGUUGUUAUAUUUUUCUAUGAACAUGGUCAAAGUUUAGCAAGUUUGACUUCAGACAAACCAAA
Molecule: microRNA precursor, 201 nt
Filed under: Dichanthelium oligosanthes
Lineage: Eukaryota; Viridiplantae; Streptophyta; Magnoliopsida; Poales; Poaceae
Description: MIR1435 microRNA precursor family
Rfam family: MIR1435 microRNA precursor family
Source: Rfam by way of RNAcentral